UGCCAGCCGCCGCGGUAAUACGGAGGGUGCAAGCGUUGUUCGGAAUUAUUGGGCUUAAAGCGCGCGUAGGCGGAAUAUCAGGUGUCGUGUGAAAUCCCCGGGCUCAACCCGGGAAUUGCGCGGCAAACCGGUAUUCUUGAGGCAGGUAGAGGUGACUGGAACGACUGGUGGAGCGGUGAAAUGCGUAGAUAUCAGUUGGAACGCCGGAGGCGAAAGCGAGUCACUGGGCCUGUCCUGACGCUGAGGCGCGAAAGCGUGGGGAGCGAACAGGAUUAGAUA
Molecule: ribosomal RNA, 279 nt
Filed under: uncultured bacterium
Lineage: Bacteria
Description: partial 16S ribosomal RNA
Rfam family: Bacterial small subunit ribosomal RNA
Source: RNAcentral